CAAUGCAUCUUAGUCAUCUAUCUGUAAAUUCGGUUUAGGUUUACUAUUAUUAUCAGUUUACUACUAUCGUCAGUUUGCUACUAGUUAUUUGUAAUAAAUGCCUCAAGAUUAAUAAAGAAUAUUAUUAUUAUUAUUAUUAUUAUUAUUAUUAUUAUUAUUAUUAUUAUUAUUAUUAUUAUUAUUAUUAUUAUUAUUAUUAUUAUUAUUAUUAUUAUUAUUAUUAUUAUUAUUAUUAUUAUUAUUAUGUCUCGUGUGUCUCUACUUUAUUUUUUGUGCAAGAAAGCAGAAAACAAGUAUGGGGGAGAUCCCUCGACAUGCCAAACACACUCCGACUACACCACUCCACGAUUCAGGUGCACACUCUGCACACUUUACUUUACACAUACACAUAUCUUGGAUUAUGCAGAAUACUGUUUCCGACAUGACAAAUUAAAAAGAUUAAAAUAUUUCUAAUCAUGAUUAAUCUCAAUCUGUGAUAUUUCCUGAAACUUGCAAUUAUUAUAAAAUCAUUUUAAAACCCUGUGUUACUUAAGACACUAUGAAAUGUGAGAUGGUAGAGUUUCUUAUUCUUGAUAUCAUUGUUGCUUGGAGAAUUUAUUUUAAAAUCUUUAAAAUUCUAGCUACCAUCCUCAGUGUUUUAUAUGCCUGAUAAAAAACUGAAAAUACUAAUUAUGAUUAUAAAAGCUAUCUACUCUGUAUUGAGUUUGUUCAAAAUGAGUUAGACCCUUGUUGAGAGAUUUAUCAUGCUCCUAAGAUCAAGACAUUUAUUCAGAAAGAUUCACUCUUCCGAAGUAUUAUUGCAUUAGAGGCAUGGGCUAUGCAAAAAUAAAGAUAUUUCGAGGAAAUAAAAAGGAGCAAGUGCUCGACAACCUCGUAGGAAAAAUGGACAACUGUCCGGCAGUAGAAUUAGGGGUACCUCGGUAUCCAUUAAAAAAAAAGAGAGAAAAAAAUGAUAAGCCCAUGGUCCCUCUAAUAAGCAAUAUGCCAGCAAGGGUUGACAAAGAUUUUAAUUUCCAAAGUCUUUGAUCUAAGAGUAUGACACUCCCCUCCUCGGAUCCCGUUUUGAUCAGGCAAUAAAUGCAAAGUAAGUAUGCUUAAGAAUUUUUACAAAUAAAAACAGCCUCAGUGAGAUAUAUAAAAGAUAAUGAGUGAUCUGAGAGAACCUAUGAGGAUAAAAAGGUAUGCUAGCUUUCUUUCAAAAUGAUACAAAAACUCCAAGUAACAGGAUUGAGAAGAAAGGAUCUUUACUCUUAAUCAUAUACUUCCCUGACUACAGUACAUAGAGGAAUUUUAAUACCCUGCAAAUAUAAAGAAUGUUUUAGAAUAUUUUACCCCAAGUAUUGUUCUUAACCAUCCUUUUCUCGAGGACGAGUAAAAGCCUAAGUAUGGGGGUAUUUGUUGACGGUUCUUAAGUAUCAGUUUUAAUUAUCAAAUAAACAAGAGAAAGGACCAAUAUGCAACCAACACCUAGAAUUAGGGUUUGAUCUGACAGAAUUCCACGAGUUUUGUUGUUUAUCUGUUUCUGCAGUGGGUUAUCCGGAAAUAAGGAAGAAAGGCCCACAUGUCGGGAUUACAUAGAGAUAUCAACGCACCACGUAAUUUUCUACCAUCUAGAAGACUCCAGAAGCCACGGGAAGAAAGCAGAGGCCGAAAGGGGCCAGGCCUAGGGCGCCCGCCAUGGUGACCUGGGCGCCCGCCCCCUGCUGGAUUCCGUUCGGGACUCUCUUCGCACACGAUGUUCCACCGACCUAUUGGAUCAAGAAUAACGUAGUACCACCUCGCCUACCGACCCAAAAACGCAUAGAGGAGGAGGACUAUAUAAGGAGACCCCCCUGGCCCCUGGAGAAGACAAGAAAUUAUCAUAGAGAUUGAGGGGCGCCCUCGAAGGAAAACCUCUUCUCUAAAUAAUAUUUCUUUUUAGGCUUAGCAACCAAUGUAAAGUAGAAAUAGAUCUUCUAGUUUCUACUAGAUUGAGAGAGAUAGAGUGGAGGUGUAGAUUGGAGGAAGCCCGGCCUGUCGGUGUCUACUCCAAGCUUGUACCUGCGGGAUCAAGUUCUCCUAACCCGAAGCUUGCUCCUAGGAUUCUUUAGUAUUUCGACUUCUAAAUUCUAGUAAGUUCUUGUUUUAUUGUUCUUCUGGUUUAUGAGUUUGCUUUAAUCUCUUCGCGUAGAGUUUAGAGUAAUCAUUGCUAGCGUAAAUGUGGUGUUUAGGCUGGGGUACUCAUAGAUAUUCCCUGACUAGCUAGGCCGUGGUAGUAGUGAGGAACGUGACAAUACCGAGUUACCUUUGCAGACCAUAUCUCGUUAGCAGGAAGGAUAGGGUUUAUAGGUGCGGGUUGAACAUCCUUUGUGGUGUCUAGAUUCCGUUAGCCUCUCCAAUAGAACAUUAGAUCAUCCUUACCAAGGUUAGAAGGAGAUUACGGUUGCAGUCUUCUCUAUUUAUCUCUCACAUCGAGAGACAUUCUUUGUUGCCUAAAGGGUUAGUAGUAAUAGACCGGUUAGUCAGAUGCACUCUUUCUCCUAGUGGUAAAAAAAUAAAUACGAUACUCUGGAUAAUUUCCCGGGUGAAGUGCUCACCGAUAUCCGUGCGCUUGCGGAUCAAUUCCUUAUUGUGCUCCCAAAUAUCAACACAGCUUUACCCCUGUAUUUUUCUAUUUUGAUUAUUUUAUGUAGGGUAAUGUAUGAAUAGAAGACAUCUUCCAGGAAAUUUUAUUGAUGACUCCGAAGCACUAUUCAGAAAAACCAAAGCCAAGCUCAGAUCGUCAACACUUCAGCGUAAAGCUUCGUCUAAACCAGAAGACCACCGAAGUUUCAUCCGGAACUUGUCGACCGAGUUCAAAGCCAUGGCAAACAAGUCGAUCUACGAGUUCUUAGCUCCCACUACAGACAACAUCUGCACUGGACCUGCUGUGGAGAUCGACUGCAACUUUGAGCUCAAGCCUUGGCUCAUCAACAUGGUGCAAGCCAACCAGUUCUGUGGGAAGGUGCACGAAGAUGCUAGUGCUCAUCUCCAACACUUCCUAGAGAUUUGCAGCACAUUCACCAUGUGAGAAGUCCCCAGAGAUGCUAUACUACUUCGCCUCUUCCCAUUCUCACUGUUGGGGAGAGGGAAGCAGUGGUUCUACGCUACAAAGGAGAAGAAUACUACGUGGGCACUCUGCUCUAUGAACUUUCUGGCUAUGUUCUUUCCCAUGGGCAAGACCAAUGCUCUCUGUGGGAAAAUUACAAGUUUUCAGCAACAACAUGAUGAAUCCGUUCCAGAAGCAUGGGAGCGCUUCUAAGACUACAUCCUAGAAUGUCCCCAUCAUGGAAUGGAGAGCUGGCUACUAAUGCAGACGUUUUAUCAUGGGCUCGGCAACAGUGCCCGAGAGACCAUGGAUGCUGUAGCUGGAGGAGCAUUCCUAUCACUCACCAUACCACAAGCCACAGAGACCAUGGGUGCUCAAGGAGGUAGACAUGCUGUCUACCAAGCUAGACCUGCUCAUGAAGAAGCUUGAUAGAGCUGGAGAUAAGAAAGAAGUCAUGCACGUCUACGACUCUCACAUGACUUGUGAGGAGUGUGGAGAUACUGGACACUCAGGCAAUCACUGCCCUAAGAUGCAUGAGGACGUGAACUACAUCAACAACAACAACUACUACUACUAUAACCGUCCUCAACAAAAUCAAGGAUGGAAUCAACAGAGGCCUAACUACUUAGGUAAUUAUCAAGGUAAUAAUUCUUACAGUAAUAAUAAUAAUUUUCCACCUCUGAGAGAGUUAGUGUCUAAUCAAGGAAAGCUAAUGGAUAACCUAUCUAAGAAAUUGGCAUCUAAUGAUAAAAUCUUAGAAAAUAUAAAUAAUAGAAUGGAUAAUUUCUCUACUGCCAUCAAGAAUCAAAUUAGCUUUAAUAAAAUGAUUGAAUCUUAGUUAAAUCAAAUAGCUGUUGCUGUUCCUGCUACUAACCCCGGUAUACCAUCACAACCGGAAGGAUUAUAAUCUGCAAAUCUUGUAGACAUGUCUGAUGCAGGUAACUACUGGAGUAACCCUGUUGUGGAAGUAACUACUGAUAUUCUGCCGGUCAAGAGAGGCGAUCCAGGAUGCCCCGUCAUCCCGAUCUCCAUUGGCAUGGUGGACUUCCCAGAAGCACUCUGCGACUUUGGCUCAAGUGUCAACAUUAUGCCAGGGUACUCUAUGAAAAAUUUUUACAUGUCCUUUAUUAGAAACAACCAUGUGUUGCAACUUGCAGAUCAGACACUAAGUUUCCCAAGGGGAAUAUUGAAGAACCUCUGCCCCUAAAACCGACAUAAUGGCCGUAGUCACCGGGUCGAGCGUCAACAUAAUGGCCGUAGUCACCUAUCAGCUCCUGUUCGGAACCAUGCCCCUAAAACCGACAUACAUUCAGGUCCAGAUGGUAGAUUAGACAUUCUGAAAGGUUGAAGGUAUAGUAACUGAUGUCCCUGUCAAAAUAGACGAUAAUUUUGUCCAUACAGACUUUUAGGUUAUUAACAUGGGAGAAGACGAGUACGAUCCACACAUCAUCCUUGGGAGACCGUUCCUCAGCACCGUUAAAGCAAUCAUCCACAUUGGAACCAGAGAAGUCCACAUGCACUUCACCUCUGAGAAGGUACGCCGCUAUUUUACUGACCCUAACUAUAUAGUUGAAGACUCUAAGCAGGUCAGGACAAGAAGAAGACGACGCAACCGCAACCAGAAGAGGCAAAUCAUCAAGGACGGAUGGGCAGACUAUGAAGGAGAAGUGGUAAGGUCUGAAGACAUACAGCUUGAACAGAACUGUCCUGAGGAGACCGUAGCACCGAGUCAGGUGUGGAGAGAGAAGAUAGUUAUACAUGAAGAGGAGGCGCCACCGGAACUACCGACUACGCCAUCCAGCGAAUCCCAGGACGACUGAGAAAACAGAGAGUCCCGUUCGGAGGACUUAAAAACACCGAAUGCCUUGCCAAGAGGUAAACUUGGUAGUUAUCCCUUUCCUUUCAAAUCAUUUACUUUUUGUUAAAAAUAGCUAGUUCAGUUAAUCAGGUUCAUAUCAUCUUGAAAAGAAAAAUAAAAAUGUUAAAACCAGUAAGCCCCAUGUGAGUAUACAAGUGGCAUAAAACCCAUAAGUACAUUCAUUGUGGUGGCAUAAAAAAAUAAUAAUAAAAUAAAAAUAUUCUUCUGCUCUAUAAAAAUGAAAAUAUAAAAAUAAAAUUGUGAUCCUACCAAAGAAAGUAGCAUUUAUUGAGGAGGCUCAACAUGAUAAAGGCUAGAUAUUUAUGCUAACACCUAAUUAGUUCCACAAAGCUUUGUAGUCUAUUUGAGCUCCACAGAAUUCAAGGAUCAAGAAGACUAGCAGACGGAGGACAUUCUAAUCGCUGUCAGGGUGCUGUCGACUUUCAAAUACACCACCACCUGCUAGCUACAUCAGAAGAAAUUAUGUCAAAAUCCAGCUUGGGGGAGAGCACCCCCAUUUAUCCCGCUAAGUAUUUCUAUCUACAUUUAUACUUAUACUAUAUUAAAAUAAAAAAAUUAUACAUAACCAUGAAAAAAAUGGACAAGGAAAACCAUUAAAAAUUAUACAUAACCAUUAAAACACUACCACUUGCUCUAAAAAAAAGAAAAAAAAAGAGAAAGGAUACGAGGAAAUAAAAAGGGGCAAGUGCCUGGAACCUCAAAAGAAAAGAAAAAGUGAGACGAGAGGUAAAAAUGGACAAGUGUCCGACAGUAGAAUUAGGGGUACAAGAUACCGACCUGAGAGGAAAGAAAAAGAAAAUGUAGAGCAUCUCAUUCUCCUCAAAAGUUUCAAAAAGCAAGAAAGGUAUGUGUCCCCUCAAAAGAGCACAAGUAGAAUUAGACUUUCACCAUUGUUAUCACCAUCAUCACCAUACACCAUUCAUUCGCCACACAUGCACAUCUUGAUUUGACUUAUUGACCUGUUUCUCUGGAUCCAUGGUUGGACGCAAUAAAUGUCUUGUAAGUAUGUAUACUUUAUCUCCCACCUAUGAGCUCCAGAUAUCAAAAGCCUUAUUAAAGUAGGGUGAGAUAGAAGGCAAGGUCACUAUGCUUCAUACCACAAAUACUACAUACUUUGAGAGAAGGCAUAUACCAUCACUGCCUUGGUAAGGAUCCGGAAAUACCACAGAAGAGAGAUCUGAGAGAGUCAUACAAGGAAUCUCUGAGUUUUAUUUGAAAAUCUGCAAAAACUCUAGAGCUAUAGCUGAUCAAGAAUAAGAGACAUGGCGCUUAACUAGACCGUUCUAUCUUUUAACUGCUCAAGACAGAAGUGACGAUUACAAGUCCCAUGGUGAAAGGUAAAAUGAGUAAGUUUUAAUUCUUGACGGUUUACUCUAACUCAGAGAUGAGAUCUUAUUUGAAAGCAUGUGUACCGUCAAAACUCAAAGGCAUUACAGCAACUUCUGAUCCAUCAUUGAGAUUAUCCUUGCUCAGGGACGAGCAAGAGGUAAGCUUGGGGGAGUUUGUUGACGAUCCUUAAGUAUCAAAUAUAAUCAACAAAUAAAUAGAGAAAAGGACCCAAAUGCAACCGACACCCAGACUUAGGGUUUUAUCUGACAAAAUUCCAUGAGUUUUGAUGUUUGUCUAUUUCUGCAGGGGUUAUCAGGAAAUAUGGCGGAAAGGCCCACACGUCAGGUUUACAUAGAUAUAAUUACAUUCUGCGCAAUUUUUCCUAAUCUAGAAGAGUCCAGAAGCCACGGGAACGAGCGGGAGGCCGAGCGGGCCCGGGGACAGGGCGCCCGCCCUCCCCCCUUGGGCGCCCGCCCUGCUACCUGGGCAAAUCAGGCUCCGUCUCACGGAUCAUGCUCCACCGACCUAAGGGAUUAAGGAAAAUCGUGCGAUUAAGGUCGGUUUGAUCCGACGGCCCACGUUCAUUUGGAAGGGCUAUAUAAGCAGGCCCCCUGGCCCUUGGAGGAGGCACCUCUGAAACCCUAAUUCAUUCAUUCAUCUUGGGAGAAGAAGUCUCUGAUCAAGCCCUAGAGCCACCACAUCAACUAGAUCUCUAGUUUAGCAUAGCUACAUAGGAUUACAACUAGAAGGAGUCAAUCUUCGAUUGGUUUUCGGAUCUGUCAAGAGGAUUCUUGGUAAUUCCUCUACUAUUCUUCAUUUGUUCAUCAUUGUUCGUCAAUAUUAUGAAUAUGACUUUGCUCUACUUCAAUAUAUUGAUUAUGACUUUGCUCUAUUUGUUUAUAUUUGCAAUUAUAUCGUUCUUAGUUUAUCAUAGUUAUAUGCUUGGCUUAGUUAGAUUGGAAUUAUAUACAUGUUUAGGAUCGUAUAGCGUUUAUCCAUGUGUACAGUGGGUAAAUGAUAAGUAUUGUGUAUGCGUGGUGCCUAUAUCGUAUUUAUCUACGAUUGUACCCUAUAUGCCAGAUCGUGGGGUAGUUCUGGUGGUGACAGCUCCAUUGAUUCUUAUAUAGUCCCCCUCCCGUGUAUAGGGCAGGCAGAGCAACAUUAUUAUAGGGGAGUGAUUGCUAUAUUUCUCAUCUUCCUUGAUAAUAUCACUAUGCAUGGGCGUAGUCCUGUCUCGCAAUGAUUGCCAAGUAUAAUUGCACUAACUAUGAUAUGCUAGACUUUAUAGUUAAGAAUAACUUAGGAAAUAUUCUUGUAGUUCAUCCUAAUUCCAUGCUAAUGACUUGCUAGAAUAUCUGUUGAGGUGCUUAUCAUUAUUAUAUGUGGCUAGUUAUGCUGAUCAGAUUAAUUAUCUUUGUCACCAUUCAUACUUAUCUAUAUUUUAUGUGACAUUUAUCCCUGUAUGAAAGAGAUAGAUAAAUGCUCUCUAUUACACAUGCAAUGAUAGAUACUCAAUUCUAUAUUUCAUUCCAUAAUCAACAUUGAUGAUUAGCAAUCCCUUCCUAGUGGUAAAAAUAUAAAUAACGAUACCUAGAAUACUUCCCGGUUAAAAAAUGCUACAUCGGUAUUAAUCUGUGCACUUGCAGAUCUCAUUUAUUAUUCAUUCAGAAGAGCAAUUGCAUAUUUCAAUACCGCGUCUUUCAUGUCAUGCUGGGGAUGACAACUUGGCUUAAGUGGCAUGAGGGAUAGGUUCGGCAUUUUUGGCGCCGUUAUCAGAAUUAGAAAACUAAGUCUACUUUUGGUAAUGACGUUAAGAAUGCCCAACAAGCAUGUUAAUCGCUUCAUUAUUCAAUAUGGAGAGGCAGCUAGCAAAGAUUAAUUAAGAGUUCGAUUAUUUUCAUCUUCUUUGUCUGGAUCGGCAUUCACAUGGUUCAUAUCAUUGCCACCAAAUUCUAUUAUUACUUGGGCUGAUCUAGAGAAACAAUUUCAUAAGUAUUUCUUUGCUGGAGUCCAUGAAAAGAAGCUUACCGAUUUAGUAAAAUUGAGGCAACGUAAUGAUGAAUCGGUAGAGAGCUUUGUGCAAAAGCUACGAGUUGUGAAGAAUAAGUGCUACAACCUGGUGCUGGAUGAUCGGCAGCUUGCCGAUCUAGCUUUUCAAGGGUUAUUGCCACAUCUCUAGGACAAGUAUGCUUCUUAGGAGUUUGAAAGCCUUAGUCAUCUUGUACAAAGGAUCUCUGAUCAAGACAUUAGGGUUUUUGAGCCUAAAAAGAAUUGGAGCAAAAAGGUGUCAUUUGUCGAUGAGGUAGAAGACACUGAUUGUGAUGAAGAACUAGUUAUCGGCUUAGCUGAGUCGGUUAAGAAUAAAAGGCCGAUAUCUUGUCCUUUUGGUUAGAGAGAACUAGAGAAGUUCACCUUUGACAUCACCAAAGCCGAUAGGAUAUUUGAUCUUUUGCUUCAAGAAGGUCAAGUUAAGCUAUCACCCAAUCAUGUGAUUCCAUCAGCAGAAGAGUUGAAGAGAUCAAGUACUGCAAAUGGCACAAUGCAACUUCACACAGUACCAAUGAGUGCAAGGUGUUCAGGCAGCAGUUGCAAUUGGCUAUCGAGUCUGGAAGAAUUAAGUUUGACAAUUCUAAGACCUAGAAGCCGAUGAAAAUCGAUCAGCAUCCUUUCCCAGCAAAUAUGUUGGAUGCCAAGGGUAAGACCAAGGUAUUGACAUCAGAAACUGCUGAGAAGAACGCAUCGGUAGAUCCCCAACAUCGGAUAACUACUAAUGACGCAAAAGGCAAGGGUUUGUUGGAAGAAAGUGGUAGUUCCAAGAAACCUCCUCGACCUGGAAUUGUGAUCACUCAUCGACGGCAAUAGGGAGGAAGGCAGGAGGAGGAUUAGCGUCGGCGUGAGGACCAAUAUCGACAACAGCAAGAAGAGAAACAUCGGGAAGAGUGGCAUCGGCAUAAAGAUCAUUGGAGGCGCCCGUUUUUCUUCUACUGCUGGAAAGAAGUCGUUAAAUUGCCAACUAUUGAAAAAUGCCCUGAGUGCAAUGGUUACUAUCGAGCCAAUCGACCUGGUAAUCGAGGUUUGUUUAUCAAUGAGCCGAUGAGAGGCAGAGCAUCAGUGCAUGAUCGAUUGGGGGCAUACUCAGUGUACAUGGAAGGCUUUGUAAACACCUUGGCUAUUUCCAAGGAAUCAAGAAGAGCUUAAGGAGAUGGCAAACGCAAGAGUUCCCGAUGAAGAAAUAUUCUAUAGGGACCCUAAUAUAUGUCGGGUAGAAUCAACUGAGGUCCGAGCCAGUCUCAAAAACUAAGCUUCCCCAAUGGUGCCUUGAGGGUUUGACAAAGACACAGAAAAGGAGGAUGCAGCGUGAGCGUCUGGAAGACCUAUAAAGAGAGAAAAGCUCUUCCAAUGAGAGGCCGGAACAUCAGCAGUGGCAGUCGAAACACAAGGGUAAGGGCUCAUCGACAGUUAUUAAUAUGGUAUUUAUGUUGCCGAUGGAGUUUUUGUCACCUUCUAAUGAUGAGGAAGUAGUUGUUCUCUCCGAUCAUGUAGCUAAGUUGGCACUAGAUCCAAUGAUGGCUAUUUUUGAGAAAACUACUAAUGACGAGAGACAUCAUCUCAAAGCUUUGUUUGUUAAGGGUAGAGUUGAUGGGCAGCCUAUAUCUAAGAUACUCAUCGACGGGGGAGCUGUGAUUAAUAUUAUGCCCUAUGUGAUGUAUCAGAAACUUGGCAAAGGAGAUCAAGACUUGACCAAAACCGAUAUGAUGCUGAAGGAUUUCGAAGGCAAUGUGUCACCAGCCAAAGGGGCAGUAUGCGUUGAGUUGACCAUCGGCAACAAAACCUUACCAAUGACGUUCUUUGUUAUCAAUGGUAAGGGUGCGUACAAUCUGCUUCUAGGUAGGGACUGGAUUCAUGCCAAUUGUUGUGUUCCUUCCACAAUGCUUCAAUGGCUCUCACAGUGGGUUGGGGAUAAGAUUGAGGUUGUCCUUGGUGACUCUUCUUACGUCAUCACAUCGACAGAAUCAGAUACUUAUGAGUGAACCAAAUUUAUAUUAGGAGAAGCUUGGGAGAAGGAGUUUCUUAGAGUUGCCGAUUAUGAAAUUCCACCGAUCCAAGCAGUCGGUUCUGAAGAGGUGUUUUAAUGGAUAGGUUUGCCGAUGAUGGAAAGUUAGGUCAGGGGUUCACAUCGGCUGAUAAUUUAGUAGAGGUAGAUAUUGGUAGUGGUGAUAGGCCAAGGCCUACUUUUAUGAGUGCUAAGUUAGAUUCCAAGUGUAAGCAGCAAUUGACCAAUUUGUUAAAAGAAUAUAAAGAUUGUUUUGCUUGGGAUUAUACUGAGAUGCUUGGAUUAAACUGAUCAAUAGUUGAACAUCGGUUACCUAUCAAGUCUCGUUGGUGCAAAAGCUGAUCUGCAAACACAAAAGGUUAAUACCCGAUUCAAACGUUAAGGCGUGCCAGCCGAUUUGACCUUACAAUCGACAAAGGUGGUAACUCGAACACUUUGGUCCCGACAACAGCGAUGCGCCUGGAUGUCACGGCCAAGAGGUGCUCACGCGGAACUUGAGAACACGCCGAGUUUGACUCGACAAAUUCCUAAGAACUCGUAGUAAAAGGGAAAAUAUGACGAAGUCGUCGAAAAGUAGAUGCUAGAAAAUAUGUAAAAACUUGUGUUUGAUUGAUUGAUAGAUAUUCUCAUUACAUUGCCAUGGGGUCUACAUUUAUACCCUGUUCAAAAGAACUACAACCAGACACGACUAGAACUCGAACCCCAAAUUAAACGGUAUCCGUAUACAAAAUGAAUUCUAAUAACUAAGGAAAUCAUUAAACUAUCCUCCGCAACCGAUCGGUACACUGCCACGAGUCAAUCGGCAACCCUUGCGCUUUUCUUCAUAAGCAUCGGCAGACCGCCUGUUACAGCCAUCGGCAACCAUCAGCACUAGUCAUCGGCACGAACGUAUCACCACUCCUAGACUUGGUCAUAUUCGGUUGUUUUCCCAUCGGCACCAACCUUUAUUGGCAACUCCCCUGUAGACUAGUCACCAUUGCUCCACCUGCCGAUCUACACUUCAUUAACUCCAGGUGUGUAUCCAAGGAUACGUGUCCAAAAAUAGUGUCAACACAUGCUCCCCAAUUUUGGAGUAUAAAAUCAUUAAUGCUCCGAAAUUCUCCUUAGUAACGACGCCUUUCCACAAUUACUUCUCCCAAUUUGGUAAUCAGUCACCAAAUCUGAACAACCUCAGCCCGAUUCUCUUGCAGGUUCCUCGAAUUUCUCAACUUCCCAAACCGAAUCUCCCCAGAAUACUUCCAUCGGCAACCUUUCCGUUAGACAAGACUGCCGAUGAACCGACCAGGAGAUCUUGCACAGUAAGAUAUCUUCAAAAUUAUGACCGCUUGGUGUCAAAUCACCUGCGCAAUCCCUUGAUUAUCGUGCGAACAGUUACCAUAUCCACCUGAAUACCCUCAGAUUUCACGGAUGCGACAAAGAGAUAAGUCAGAUUUGCCCCUGCCCUCCUUGUCCUAUAAAUACUUCCUUCUCCGGUACUCUUCUUCCAUCCUGUCAUUCUACAGCCUCAUACCCACCUUUCUGGCGGCGGCACUGCUCAAGAACUUCAAGAACUCCGCUCGAGGAUCUCCCUCGACAACCUUCCGAGUCUUUGAGUUCUUUCUCUUUCUGAGAGAAAAUGGCCAUCAACUUUGUCAUCCCUGAGGUUAACUUAAUCACCCCCUUUCUCCUUUAUACUUUUAUUGUACUCCUGUUCAUCUGCGAAUCUAUUUACUGAGUACAUUUUCUUCUUAUUUUUUUGCCCCUUUGAUCUCCAAACCCUUUAGGAACUGGCCGAUAAAAUCGUGAUCCCUACCGAUCAACCUCACUUUCAGUGUCUUGGCCCGUUGGGAAAUCCAGAUCCCACCGAUCUGAUAAACUCAGAGACAAAUAGGAUCCCAUUUAGAGCCGAGAACUUUUCUUUAGACCUAUGGAGAGAUACUUUUAGCUCCUGGCCCAGUUCUACCAAGGGUUGGAAAGAUUGGUUCCUAAGAAUCGGCAACUCGAACGAAGUCCGAUGGGGUGAGCGAAAAUUAGACCAAUGCAUUAGGUUAUCCAUUGCCGAUAUGGAGAGGAAUGAAUCCCUGUUGAUAGCUGCUUCAUACUUCUGGUCUGACACCCUCAAUGCUUUUGUAUUCGGCCAUGGUCCUGCCUCCCCUACUUUAGACGAUGUGCUGAUGCUUACUGGUUUGGACAUAUCAUCUGCUGAUGAUAACCAUCUUUAUGACUCCAAACCCGAGCGCAAAGUAAAAACCCGCAACAUAGGCGGUUGGGCGGGAUACAUCCAGAAGUAUCAAAAAACAGGGCCAGUCGGUCAGAGGGAACAUGCUAUUUUUCUGAACAUGUGGUUAGAUAAGUUCGUCUUCUGUGGCCGAUCGGCAGGGCCAACCUCUGUCUAUCUAUCGGCAGCAGAAAGACUGGCCGAUGGCGGCCGAUUUCCUCUUGGCCGAUAUUUGCUUGGCUCUGUCUAUCACCUUCUCCACCAGGUAGCUGAGAAACUCCUGCUAGGCUAACCCAUCGGCAACUUAGGGGGACCUUGGUGGUUCAUCAAUAUGUGGCUCAGUGUUCACAUGCAUAAGCACCUUGGAAUCGAUCUUUUUGCACAGCGCUUUCCCAGAGACAUAGCCGAAGAUUAUGAACUGGACGAGAAAGAAUUAGCAACCCGCUCCCCCUUGAACUAUGGUGAGGCCACCAUAGUCUUACCUGGUACCGGUGGCAAUGAAGACCAGGUCAGCCGAUUCUUCCAAACUCUCUAUGAGGGCCUGACCAAAGACCAGCGAGCAUGGAUGCCUUAUGAGGACACAGAAACCAGAUUCCCACUCACUUUCCACCCCUUUGAUAAUGCCCUCAACAAGGAUCACGACCAGAUGAUGGCAAUUAUCACUCCGAGAGCCAUACCAGUGAACUUCUUUGGCAGUGGGAAAACCUCCAGCAUCACCUACGAGUUCUACAAUCCAUCGGCACUGGCUCGUCAACUGGCCUUUGGACAGCUGCCGAUUGCACUCUGCUAUGCCGAUGUGGUAAAGCCAAGGGAGAUCAUAACCAGCGGUCUUGAAUGGAUCAGAGUAGCUCAGCUUCCACCAAAUGCUGAUACGUCACACACUGAUCUAUCAUCCUGGAUCCCAGUUCUCUUCAUUACUCAAGCAUACAAGCAAUGGUGGGAGGAGUGGAAAGAGCAUCUGUUUUGCGUAUCGGCUCUCAGAUACCGCGGUAUGAUCGACCCCAAGUAUAAAGUUCCUGAAAACACUAUAAGUCCGCAACCGAUGCUUUAAUAUUUUUAUUACUUUUAUCCUUAUCGGUAACUUACUUCCUCCCUUUUAAACAGGUCGACCAUACACCACCAACAAUGAGCAGGAACGGCAAGCCGAUCGAGCUCCUUCCAUCAGGCCCGAUUUCUCUCAUCGGCAACAGCGCACCAACUUUGGUAGCUCUAAUGCAUCGGAACGUGCGUUUUAAGAAGAUCACCACCAGACGAGCAAAGACAUCUCCAUCGGUUGCUGCUACUGCUUUGGCACAAGCUUUCAAGGUAAAUCCCUGACUUCUUCAAUUUAUACCGAUUCCAUUUUAUACUUACACAGUUUUUUCAGGAUACAUCGGCUACUAUGGGAACUUCAUCGGUAACUUUUACUGUUUCAACCAAAAUUUCAUCAAUACUCUGCUACAUUCGUACUUAUGAAAUUUUUGUUGUUGCAUCAGCAAACUGGCAAAUCGGCAAAGUCCAGAAGUACCAAGACAAGUGCCGAUGCCCCCCAGUCUAGCCAAGUCAAGAGAAAAGGCCCCAAAAGCACCAAGUCACAAGUAAAACGUCAGAGGACAGCACCACCUUCUUCUCCUCCUCCGGUAUCACCGAUUCGUGUGGAAUCGUCCCAUUCCUCACCAGAGAUCCAGACACAACAAGUACCAUCUCCACCUCAGCCACAAGAAGCACCUCAACUAGAAGAGACAUCAGCCGAUGUGCCUGAGCAAACUGCCGAUCCAGUGAGUCCAAUCAUGCCAUCGGUGGUCCCUCCAGAACAGACAAGCAUUGUACCCCCUCAAGGUAAAGUACCAUUCACAAGAUCACCACCGAUGGAUUUACUCCUUCAAAUUAUAAGCAACUUUAUUAUCCUUUCAGUUGACAUUGUUCCAUCAGCAACUUCAGCCGAUCAACCUAUGGUACCAUCAGCAUUAACUAGCCAGAGGCGAGAAAUAGCUCUGAAACAAGUAAGUUAUUUGAUUCUUAUACUUUGUCACUAAUAUUUCGUCAUCAAAUAACUUAUCUUUUUUUCUUUUCAGGAACAAGACUCUCCCGACAGCCUGUUUUCCUUUGCCAUCGAAAUUUCCGAUGAUGAAGGCGAGGAAGCAAGCUCUUCUCAAGCAAUAGGGAUUUCAUCAGCAGAAAUCAGAGCAAAGCUAGAAGAUCUGCUGGCUCUGCUUCAUCAGGACACUACUCAAUUAGUCGAUGACUCUGACCCAGCCAAAGCUCUGUUCAAAGCUCUCAGGGGUCAAAUUCCUGCCGAUGCCGAAGAGAUCCUUUUCCAGGCUGCACACUUGGAGAGCCACCAGCUCCAGUACCAAAAGGCCACCCAAUGCCUUGCCGAUUAGAGGAAGUAAUGUAAGUGAAACGUCUUGCUGAUGAGAAGCACAAGAGCAUCGGCAUCUUACAGUCCUUAGGAGAGACAUUAAGGCAGAAAAUCUCCGAUCUGUCGGCAAAAAGGGAAGCCCUGCUGGCAGAGCUCAAGCAAGUAGAAGAAGUCCUCUCUCAAGCUCAGCAAGAAGAAAGUCAACUACCUGAAAUGAUCAAGACCCUCUAGCAAGAAUGAAACAUUCAAGCCCGCAAAGCACUGUAGAUGAAGAAAAAGUUGAAGCCAGUGGAGGGCUCUGCCGAUGAGGACAUCUGGGAGAUAGAAGAAGCCGAUCAAAUCCAUCUGCGCGCCAUAUCGGCUAUCCAAACCUUGCGGAGUAUAUGAGCUCUCCAUCGGCGGCAUGUCUUGUUCUUCCUUUUAGAAACUGCUAACUAUUUUGGUCUAGCCGAUAGGAUUGUUAUCGGCAUCUCUCAAAACAUCAUACUCAGUCCCAGAUACCUCUUAAUCCAGCCGAUAGGAGUGUUAUCAGCACUUUAAACUUUCAUGCAUCGACCCAUAUGCUUGGGUAAUACUUCUUUAAAUAUUUUCCAUUCAAUGCUCUGGGAAAUUCAACUCCUUCGAGAGUCUCCAAAAUAUAAGCAUUACCAGGAGCAGACUGAUUUAUCCGAUAAGGAACUUCCCAAAUUUUAAACUUUUAGUCCCAAUCGGUAAGAUCAGUUUCCAUACCAGAUCUCCAUCGGCAAACUCCUUAGAUUUUACUCUUCUAUCAUACCACCUAGCAACUCUCUUUUUAUUUUCUUCUAUACUUAUCAAAGCCCUCAGCCGAUGCCCUGCUAAAUCGUCUAAUUCAUCUUUCAUCAAAGUAGCAUAGUCAUCGGCAGCCAACUGGUCUUGAAAACAUAAUCAGCUAGAUCCAGUCUUAAUUUCCCAUGUUAGCACCGCAUCAUGUCCAUACACCAACUGAUAAGGUGAAACUUUAGUCGACCCAUGACAUACCAUCCGAUAUGACCAUAAAGCUUCACCCAACAAUGCAUGCCACCUUCUAGGAUUUUUCUCAAUCUUUUGUUUGAUGAGUUUAAUAAUUCCUUUGUUAGAUGCCUCGGCCGGUCCAUUGGCUUGAGCAUAAUAAGGGGAAGAAUUCAACACUUUAAUCCCCAUACCGAUUGCAAAUUCAUCAAACUCCCUGAUGUAAACAUGGUACCUUGAUCGGUAGUAAUUGUUUGAGGAAUACCAAAUCGGUAAACAAUAUGCUCUUUCACAAAAUCAAUCAUAUUGGUUGUUGACGGUUCUUAAGUAUCAAUUUUAAUUAUCAAAUAAACAAGAGAAAGGACCAAUAUACAAACAACACCUAGAAUUAGGGUUUGAUCUGGCAGAAUUCCACGAGUUUUGUUGUUUAUCUGUUUCUGCAGGGGGUUAUCAGGAAAUAAGGAAGAAAGGCCCACACGUCGGGAUUACAUAGAGAUAUCAACGCACCGCGCAAUUUUCUACCAUCUAGAAGACUCCAGAAGCCACAAGAACGAAGCAGAGGCUGAAAGGGGCCAGGCCCAGGGCGCCCGCCCUGAGGACCUGGGCGCCCGCCCCCCUCUGUACUCUAAUCGGGACUCUUUUCGCACACGACGCUCCACCAACCUAAAGGAUCAAGGAUAACCGUCCAAUCAAUGUUGGUUUGAUCUAAUGGCUCACGUUCACUUGAGGGGACUAUAAAACCAGACCCCCUAGCCCCUGGAGGAGACAAGUUUAUCAUAGAGUUGAGGGGAGCCCUCGAAGGAAAACCUCUUCUCUAAAUAAAAUUUCUUUUUAGGCUUAGCAACCAAUGUGAGUAGAAAUAGAUCUUCUAGUUUCUACUAGAUUGAGAGAGAUAGAGUGGAGGUGUAGAUCGGAGGAAGCCUGGCCUGUCGGUGUCUACUCUGAGCUUGUACCUGCGGGAUCAAGUUCUCCUAACCCGAGGCUUGCUCCUAGGAUUCUUCAGUAUUUCGACUUCUAUAUUCUAGUAAGUUCUUGUUUUAUUGUUCUUUUGGUUUAUGAGUUUACUUUAAUCUCUUCGCGUAGAGUUUAGAGUAAUCAUCUCUAGCGUAGACGUGGUGUUUAAGCUAGGAUACUCAUAGAUAUUCCUGCACUAGCUAGACCGUGGUAGUAGCGAGGAACGUGACAUUUCUGAGUUACCUUUGCAAACAAUAUCUCGUUAGCAGGAAGGAUAGGGUUUAUAGGUGCGGGUUGAACAUCCUUUGUGGUGUCUAGAUUCCGUUAGCCUCCCUAAUAGAACAGUAGAUGAUCCUUACCAAGGUUAGAAGAAGAUUACGGUGGUAGUCUUCUCUAUUUAUCACUCACAUCGAUAAACAUUCUUUGUUGCCUAAAGGGUUAGUAGUAAUAGACCGGGGUUAGUCAGAUGCACUCUUUCUUCUAGUGGUAAAAAAAUAAAUACGAUACUCCGGAUAACCUCCCAGGUGAAGUGCUCACCGAUAUCCGUGCGCUUGCGGAUCAUUUCCUUAUUGCGUUCCCAAAUAUCAACAAGCAUUUCUGGCGCCGUUGCUGUGGAGAAAGAUGGUUUGCUGAGAUAAACUUGAGUCUUACUACUAGCUUGUAUCUAUACUUUUAUCUUUUCUUAUCUUUUAUAUUCUGUAUUUAUUUUCUUUACUCUUACCUUAUGGAAAACCAAGAUUCUAAAUCAAUCUACCAAUUUGCAACACCUUUGGAAUCUGACCUUUUACCAUGGGAAUCAUCACAGCCUAUCCAAACAUCCCAGUAUAGGUUAAGUUCUAGGUUGAUUGCCAUGAUUCAAAACCUAUCUUUUUCGGGAAAGGAAGACGAAAACCCUUACCUUCAUAUUAGAGAUUUUGAGCAAACAUGUGAUUGUCUUCGCAUUGAAGGCAUUUCUGAUAAAACAUUACGUUGGAAGCUUUUUCCUUUUUCCUUAAGGGGAGAAGCUAGACAAUGGUACAGUUAGAAGGUAAGUCAACAACGAGGUGAAUGGGGAGUUUUACGAGCCAACUUUUGUCUAGAUUUUUAUUCCCUCGACCGUAUCGGCGACCUUAGACUCGAAGUUCUAUCUUUUAAACAAAAAGAUAACGAAACUUUGGGAAAAUCCUAGAAACAUUUUUCUCAUCUUUUAGAAUCUGGUCCAAACCUUAAUCUUGAAGACCCUGUUCUUUUAUUUCACUUUUUUUGAGGUCUUCUAAAAAAUCACAAACAAAUGCUACACAUAAUGUCUAGAGGUUCUUUCUUUCGCAUCCCUACUGAUGAAGCUAGAGUGAUCCUAGAUAGAAUCCUAGAAGCUGAGAUGGAUAAUACCCUUCAUGAUGAAACCUACGAAGCCGAAGUAGACACUCUACCAAAUUCUUCAUCUACUUUAGCUAUCCCAGGUUCUGAGCCACAAGAGGAAGAAAUUCCACCACCGGACUUCAUGCUGGAUAUAGAAUCCGAUCUUUUUGCCGAUUUUGGAAACAUUUCAAACUACCAUUCUAUUGACAAACCCCAAAACGGCCAGUUUAGCAUUUAUUUGCCAAGUGAAUAUCAAUUGAGAGAGAUUAUCUCAGUCAUGAGUAGCGAGUGGUUGGAGGAAUCAGAGCUUUCCUCUGAUGUGAUCCGUUUGGACACACCCUCUAUAACUAUAUGCUGUGCUUAUAAUUCUGAUCGAUUUAAUGCUCUUUAUAAUUCUGUUGUGGGGAUCAACAUCAUGUCUGAAUCUUUUGCACUUAAACUAUUUAAAAAUCUUGUCUUAACCCCCACAACAAAGGUCAUAAAGGAAUCUUCGGGACGAUUAGUCCCCAGUCUUGGAAUUAUUAAUGUCCUACCUCUUACGGUAGAAGGCUCCAUGGUUCAUUUGAACUUCUAUAUCUUUGAUACAUGGGACUUCAACCUGUUGAUAGGACAACCUUUUAGAAGACUCCUUUAUGAAGGUCAUACUGGAAAGCUACACAUUUCUUUUGGAAAAGGUUUUAAAAUCCCAAUAACAAUUGCACACUCUUUGAAUAAUAAGGCCGAGUCAUAUCUUUUUCCUGAUCCUAUGGAGGAGGUAAAGGCUACAUCUCUUGAACUUUUAGAAGAAUCACACUUAGAAGACGAAACUCCUUUCUUCAUAGAAGAAGAAGCCGAACCUUAUGAACCUGAACCCUUAGAUGAGUUUGCAGAAACACCUAGACACCCCAUAGAGCUUAAAACUUUACCACCCAGUCUUAUCUAUGCUUUCCUAAACAAUAAUCUAGAAUUUCCUGUGAUCAUUAGCGAUAAACUCACUCAGGACCAAACUCUGCGAUUAAUGGCCAUUCUUGAGAAACAUCACUUAGUUUUCGGCUACUCACUCCAAGAUCUUACAGGAAUCAGUCCUAUGAUUUGUACCCAUCGUAUUCCAACAGAUCCUUCUGUUUCACCUUCUCGAGAACCCCAACGUAGACUUAACAACACUAUGAGAGAGGUAGUUAAAAAGGAAGUUAUAAAGUUGCUGCAUGCAGGGAUCAUAUAUCCUAUGCCGCAUAGUGAGUGGGUGAGCCCAGUACAAGUUGUGCCUAAAAAGGGAGGCAUGACUGUUAUUAUGAAUGAAAAGAACGAGCUAAUUCCACAACGCACCGUCACAGGAUGGCGGAUGUGCAUAGACUAUAGAAAACUAAACAAAGCCACAAGAAAGGAUCACUUUCCUUUACCUUUCAUAGAUGAGAUGCUAGGGCGAUUAGCGAACCAUUCGUUCUUCUGUUUCUUAGAUGGAUAUUCAGGGUAUCAUCAGAUCCCGAGCCAUCCCGAUGAUCAAAGCAAAACCACUUUUACAUACCCAUAUGGAACUUAUGCUUACCGUAGAAUGUCUUUUGGGUUAUGUAAUGCACCAGCUUCUUUUCAAAGAUGCAUGAUGUCUAUAUUUUCUGAUAUGAUUGAAGAGAUUAUGGAAGUUUUCAUGGAUGAUUUCUCUGUUUAUGGAAAAUCUUUUGGUAGUUGUCUUGAAAACUUAGACAAGGUUUUGCAAAGAUGUGAAGAAAAGCACUUAGUCCUUAAUUGGGAAAAAUGUCAUUUCAUGGUUAGGGAAGGAAUAGUGCUGGGACACCUAGUGUCUGAAAGAGGUAUUGAGGUAGACAAAGCUAAAAUUUAAGUAACUGAACAACUACCUCCACCUGUGAAUAUAAAAGGAAUUGGAAGCUCUCUUGGCCAUGCUGGUUUUUAUCAUAGAUUCAUAAAAGAUUUUUCAUUCAUUGCUAGACCACUUACCCUUUUGCUAGCCAAGGAUGCUCCUUUUGAAUUUGAUGACGCAUGUCUAACAUCUUUUAAUUUAUUAAAGAAAGCACUCACCUCUGCACCAAUCAUUCAACCCCCUGAUUGGCCAUUGCCUUUUGAAAUUUAUGUGUGAUGCUAGUGAUUAUGCUGUGGGGGCAGUAUUGGGACAAACUAAAAAUAAGAAGCAUUAUGCAAUUGCUUAUGCCAGUAAAACUUUGACAGGAGCUCAACUUAACUAUGCAACCACUGAAAAAGAGCUUCUGGCUGUUGUCUUUGCCAUUGAUAAAUUUAGAUCUUAUUUAGUUGGAGCUAAAAUAAUUGUUUACACUGAUCAUGCUGCACUAAAAUAUUUGCUCACUAAAAAAGAUUCUAAACCUCGCCUGAUUAGAUGGAUCUUAUUACUCCAAGAAUUUGACUUAGAAAUAAAAGAUAAAAAGGGAGUAGAAAAUUUCUUUGCAGAUCACUUGUCUAGAAUGUAUUUUAAGAGUCCACAGGAAACCCCCAUCAAUGAUUCACUCCGGGACGACAUGCUCUACGGGAUUAACAGGUCUGACCCCUGGUAUGUAGAUAUUGUUAAUUUUAUGGUUUCAGGGUAUGUACCGCCAGGAGCAAACAAGAAGAAGCUUUUUCAAGAAAGUAGUUCACAUAUAUGGGAUGAGCCAUACCUCUUCCGAGUAUGCUCUGAUGGCUUACUCAGGAGAUGUGUCGCCACUGAGGAAGGAUGGAAGAUCAUCGAUAGAUGUCAUUCAUCACCAUAUGGAGGUCACUAUGGAGCAUUCCCUACACAUUCAAAGAUCUGGCAGUGUGGAUUCUACUAGCCUACAAUGUAUGAAGACACGAAGCAAUAUAUCAGAAGAUGUGGGCCAUGUCAAAGGCAUGGAAACAUAAAUACAAGGGAUGCAAUGCCACUCACCAACAACCUUCAGAUUGAGCUCUUUGAUGUCUGGGGAAUAGACUAUAUGGGUCCAUUUCCUCCAUCAAAGAAAUGUGAGUACAUCUUGGUGGCAGUUGACUACGUCUCCAAGUGGGUAGAGGCAUUACCUUGCAUGCAUGCCGACAACAUCAGUUCAAAGAGGAUGUUUGAAGAAAUUAUAUUUCCAAGAUUUGGAGUCCCCAGAGUAGUGAUAAGUAAUGGAGGAGCACACUUCAUCGAUAAACGCUUCUAGCAAUAUCUAUCAAAACAUGGAAUCCAUCACAACGUCGCUACUCCCUAUCAUCCUCAGACAAGUGGCCACGCAGAGACUUCCAAUAAGCAAAUCAAGAAUAUUCUUCAGAAGACAUUAAAUGAAAUGGGGAUGGCGUGGAAAGACAAGUUACCCGAUGCACUCUGGGCAUACCGGACAGCAUACAAGACCCCAAUUGGAAUGUCUCCAUACCAAUUGGUGUACGGGAAGACUUGCAACCUACCUGUUGAACUAGAGUUCAAAGCACACUAGGCCAUAAAGAGAUGGAAUAUGGACCUAGAUGUUGCUGGAGAUCAUAGAAGAAUGCAACUAUCAGAAUUGGAAGAAUGGCGAGAGAAAGCAUAUCACAAUUCGAAGAUCUACAAAGAAAGAGUCAAAAGGUGGCAUGACAAGAGAAUCAAGAAGAAGGAGUUCACACCCGAAGAUAAGGUAUUACUUUUUAAUUCUAGGGUGAAGCUUUUCGGGCAUGGAAAACUCCAGAGUAAAUGGGAAGGACCAUUCAAGGUAAUUAAUUCAUCAUCCCACGGAGCUAUCACACUUCAAAAUGACGAAGGUACGUUAUUCAAGGUAAAUGGUCAACGUCUUAAAUUGUUUUUAGAGCCCGACCUUUUUAGUCUGACGUUUUCGGGUGAUACAUAUAUUUUCCUAAAUAGUUUUGCAUCUAGAAACACGCUCGAGGAAGCGGACCCACAGAGGAGACAGAGAGAGGGCGGGCGCCCAGAUCAGGUGGGCGGGUGCCCAGCUCCUGUGCCCCCCUCGGUCCCGAUUUUCUCUAUUAUGGAAAAUGCACUUAUGGUAGUCUGAAUAAUCCCUCAGAUGGAAAGUUUCGCACACACAUCGACGGGAGCAACCUGAACAACCCCUAGAGGCACUUUUUGACCCCUAUAUAAAUAGACCCCUGACAUCAGUUUUCAAACACCGAACCACCAAGCCUUCUCUUCUUCUUCAAUUAGAGCUCGAUUAGUCCCUUCCUGCUUCAAUGGCUGAGAAGUUCCACGAUGAUUGGGAAGUCGUCCCCUUCAACCUCAACAUGGAGCCGGUGGAAGACCCCGAUGCCCGUGCUCUCGUCCCGGCCAACACAGAGCGACAGCUAGAAGCCAUGCCAUUACGCCAACGCAGCUCCGCCCAAUCCAACCAUGCUCAACCAGUUCUCACCACACCGCCACAACCCCUACUCCUUAAGGGAUCAUCAUCCAAGACGAAGACCACCAUCAAGGUGCCAACCGACACAAGGAUCCUUCCACCUAGACCCAAUGAGAGGGUCGUUGGAGUCAAGACCAACCGGAGCGGCGAGAUCAGCAGCAUACGCUACACUACGGAGGAGGAAAGGCCUUAUUUCGAAGGGAUUAGAGCAGCCAAAGUCUGUUUCAUCCCUCCAAAGGCAGCCCCGAAGCACGCUCUCAAUGCUUUUGAGACACCUCCCAAGCGUCGUAAGACUAUAGUAGAUAUUGAUGAGAACGUUCGCAGGCUAGACAGAGUUAUCAUAGAUUAGACCUUGAGGCAGCUCUCCAGUCCUCGAUUAAUUCCCUCACUAGGCAGCUCUCUAACCACAACACCGUUAUACUAGGCCUUAGGCAAGAUCUUGCCAGUGCCAAUAAGAAGAUUAAGGAAUUAGAGCGCCGCUAAGUUAUCUAGAUUAGACCUUGAGGCAAUGCAUCUUAGUCAUUUAUCUUUAAAUUCAGUUUAGGUUUACUAUUAUCGUCAGUUUGCUACUAGUCAGUUGUAAUAAAUGCCUCAAGAUUAAUAAAGAGUAUUAUUAUUAUUAUGUCUUGUGUGUCUCUACUUUAUUUUUGUGCAAGAAAGCAGAAAACAAGUAUGGGGGAGAUCCCUCGACACGCCAAACACACUUCGACUACACCACUCCACAAUUUAGGUACAAACUCUGCACACUUUACUUUACAUAUACACAUAUCUUGGAUUAUGCAGAAUAUUGUUUCCGAUAUGAUAAAGAUUAAAAUGUUUCUAAUCAUGAUUAAUCACUCUGUGAUAUUUCCUGAAAAAUUGCAACUAUUAUAAAAUCAUUUUAAAACCCUGUGUUACUUAAGUCAGUAUGGAAUGUGAGAUGGUAGAGUAUGAGUUUCUUAUUCUUGAUAUCAUUGUUGCUUGGAGAAUUUAUUUGAAAAUCUUCAAUAUUCUAGCUACCAUCCUCAGUGUUUUAUAUGCCUGAUAAAAACUGAAAAUAUUAAUUAUGAUUAUAAAAGCUAUCUACUCUGUAUUGAGUUUGUUCAAAAUGAGUUAGACCCUUGUUGAGAGAUUUAUCAUGCUCCUAAGAUCAAGACAUUUAUUCAGAAAGAUUCACUCUUCCGAAGUAUUAUUGCAUUAGAGGCAUGGGCUAUGCAAAAAAAAAGAUAUUUCGAGGAAAUAAAAAGGAGCAAGUGCUCGAUAACCUCGCAGAAAAAAUGGACAAGCGUCCAGCAGUAGAAUUAGGGGUACCUCGGUAUCCACUUAAAAAAAAAGAAGAAAAAGAAAAUGAUAGCCCAUUGUCCCUCUAAUAAGCAAUAUGCCAGCAAGAGUUGACAAAUAUUUUAAUUUUCAAAGUCUUUGAUCUAAGAGUAUGACAUUCCCCUCCUCGGAUCCCGUUUUGAUCAGGCAAUAAAUACAAGGUAAGUAUGCUUGAGAAUUUUUGCAAAUUAAAACAGCCUCAAUGAGAUGUAUAAAAGAUAAUGUGUAAUCUGAGAAGACCUAUGAGGAUAAAAGGUAUGCUAACUUUCUUUCAAAAAUAUACAAAAACUCGAAGUGACAGGAUUGAGCAGAAAGGAUCUCAACUCUUAACCAUAUACUUCCGUGACUUUAAAAAUGUUUUACCCCAGAUAUUGUUCUUAACCAUCCUUUUCUCGAGGACGAGUAAAAGCCUAAGUAUGGGGGUAUUUGUUGACGGUUCUUAAGUAUCAAUUUUAAUUAUCAAAUAAACAAGAGAAAGGACCAAUAUACAAACAACACCUAGAAUUAGGGCUUGACCUGGUAGAAUUCCACAAGUUUUGUUGUUUAUCUGUUUCUGCAGGGGGUUAUCAGGAAAUAAGGAAGAAAGGCCCACAUGUCGGGAUUACAUAGAGAUAUCAACGCACCGCGCAAUUUUCUACCAUCUAGAAGACCCCAGAAGCCACGAGAACGAAGCAGAGGCCGAAACGGGCCAGGACCAGGGCGCCCGCCCUGAGGACCUAGGCGCACGCCCCCCUCUGUACUCCAAUCGGGACUCUUUUCGCACACGACGCUCCACCGACCUAAAGGAUCAAGGAUAACCAUCCAAUCAAUGUCAGUUUGAUCCAAUGACUCACGUUCACUAGAGGGGACUAUAAAACCAGACCCCCGGGCCCCUAGAGGUGACAAGUUUAUCAUAGAGUUGAGGGGAGCCCUCGAAGGAAAACCUCUUCUCUAAAUAAAAUUUCUUUUUAGGCUUAGUAACCAAUGUGAGUAGAAAUAGAUCUUCUAGUUUCUACUAGAUUGAGAGAGAUAGAGUGGAGGUGUAGAUCGGAGGAAGCCCGGCC
Molecule: long non-coding RNA, 24735 nt
Filed under: Sorghum bicolor (sorghum)
Lineage: Eukaryota; Viridiplantae; Streptophyta; Magnoliopsida; Poales; Poaceae
Description: long non-coding RNA (SBIC_LNC006490)
Source: RNAcentral